Molecule: ribosomal RNA, 497 nt
Filed under: uncultured bacterium
Lineage: Bacteria
Description: partial 16S ribosomal RNA
Rfam family: Bacterial small subunit ribosomal RNA
Source: RNAcentral
GAUGAACGCUGGCGGCGUGCCUAAUACAUGCAAGUCGAGCGAACGGACGAGAAGCUUGCUUCUCUGAUGUUAGCGGCGGACGGGUGAGUAACACGUGGAUAACCUACCUAUAAGACUGGGAUAACUUCGGGAAACCGUAGCUAAUACCGGAUAAUAUUUUGAACCGCAUGAUUCAAAAGUGAAAGACGGUCUUGCUGUCACUUAUAGAUGGAUCCGCGCUGCAUUAGCUAGUUGGUAAGGUAACGGCUUACCAAGGCAACGAUGCAUAGCCGACCUGAGAGGGUGAUCGGCCACACUGGAACUGAGACACGGUCCAGACUCCUACGGGAGGCAGCAGUAGGGAAUCUUCCGCAAUGGGCGAAAGCCUGACGGAGCAACGCCGCGUGAGUGAUGAAGGUCUUCGGAUCGUAAAACUCUGUUAUUAGGGAAGAACAUAUGUGUAAGUAACUGUGCACAUCUUGACGGUACCUAAUCAGAAAGCCACGGCUAACUACGUG